UACGUAGGGUGCAAGCGUUAAUCGGAAUUACUGGGCGUAAAGCGUGCGCAGGCGGCUGUGCAAGUCCGAGGUGAAAUCCCCGGGCUUAACCUGGGAAUGGCAUUGGUGACUGUACGGCUAGAGUGUGGCAGAGGGGGGUAGAAUUCCACGUGUAGCAGUGAAAUGCGUAGAGAUGUGGAGGAAUACCGAUGGCGAAGGCAGCCCCCUGGGAUAACACUGACGCUCAUGCACGAAAGCGUGGGGAGCAAACAGG
This 253-nucleotide ribosomal RNA is filed under the name uncultured bacterium. RNAcentral describes it as "partial 16S ribosomal RNA". It matches the Rfam family "Bacterial small subunit ribosomal RNA", at positions 524 to 776 of the family's 1533-position model. The record is from RNAcentral.